CACGUAGGGCGCAAGCGUUGUCCGGAAUUAUUGGGCGUAAAGAGCUCGUAGGUGGUUUGUUACGUCUGCUGUGAAAACCUAGGGCUUAACCCUGGGCUUGCAGUGGAUACGGGCAGACUAGAGGUAGGUAGGGGAGAAUGGAAUUCCUGGUGUAGCGGUGAAAUGCGCAGAUAUCAGGAGGAACACCGGUGGCGAAGGCGGUUAGCUGGCCUGUAACUGACACUGAGGCGCGAAGGCUAGGGGAGCGAACAGG
Molecule: ribosomal RNA, 253 nt
Filed under: uncultured bacterium
Lineage: Bacteria
Description: partial 16S ribosomal RNA
Rfam family: Bacterial small subunit ribosomal RNA
Source: RNAcentral